This 440-nucleotide ribosomal RNA is filed under the name uncultured bacterium. RNAcentral's name for it is "partial 16S ribosomal RNA". It matches the Rfam family "Bacterial small subunit ribosomal RNA", at positions 338 to 795 of the family's 1533-position model. The record is from RNAcentral.
CCUACGGGUGGCAGCAGUGGGGGAUAUUGCACAAUGGGGGAAACCCUGAUGCAGUGACGCCGCGUGAGUGAAGAAGUAUUACGGUAUGUAAAGCUCUAUCAGCAGGGAAGAAAAUGACAGUACCUGACCAAGAAGCCCCGGCUAACUACGUGCCAGCAGCCGCGGUAAUACGUAGGGGGCAAGCGUUAUCCGGAUUUACUGGGUGUAAAGGGAGCGUAGACGGUUAUGUAAGUCUGGAGUGAAAGCCCGGGGCUCAACCCCGGGACUGCUUUGGAAACUGUUUAACUGGAGUACGGGAGGGGCAGGCGGAAUUCCUGGUGUAGCGGUGAAAUGCGUAGAUAUCAGGAGGAAUACCGGCGGCGAAGGCGGCCUGCUGGACUGAAACUGACGUUGAGGCUCGAAAGCGUGGGGAGCAAACAGGAUUAGAUACCCGAGUAGUC